RNAcentral lists this ribosomal RNA (253 nucleotides) under uncultured bacterium. Its description in RNAcentral is "partial 16S ribosomal RNA". It matches the Rfam family "Bacterial small subunit ribosomal RNA", at positions 524 to 776 of the family's 1533-position model. The record is from RNAcentral.
AACGUAGGAGGCGAGCGUUAUCCGGAUUCACUGGGCGUAAAGCGCGUGCAGGCGGUUCGGUAAGUUGGGCGUGAAAUCUCCUGGCUUAACUAGGAGAGGUCGUCCAAUACUACCGGGCUAGAGAGUGGUAGAGGAAGAUGGAAUUCCCGGUGUAGUGGUGAAAUGCGUAGAUAUCGGGAGGAACACUAGUGGCGAAAGCGAUCUUCUGGACCAUUUCUGACGCUCAGACGCGAAAGCUAGGGUAGUAAACGGG